Long non-coding RNA from Drosophila subobscura, 498 nucleotides. RefSeq lists it as uncharacterized. Lineage: Eukaryota; Metazoa; Arthropoda; Insecta; Diptera; Drosophilidae. The record is from RefSeq and is a predicted model, not a curated record. The transcript is spliced from 3 exons.
GCGUAGCGUUGCCACCCAUCAAGGCGCAUUGUUGUUUGUUUACUAUUUGAUUCUAGCCGGGAACAGUCUUGUUAAAAAGGAAUACGCACAAUUCAGCAAUGGUUCCACCCAUUAAAAGCCUGGAUGAACCAUAGAAUAUCUGUAUAAUUCUGCAACGCGGAAUUUCUUACAACUGCGGCAUCUGGAAACCUUAUAUUUGGCAAUCAAGCCCCCACAGGCGAUGGUCUCUGCAUCGUUUACUUUUAUGGCUCUCGUCUUCGCUCUGCAGCUGGAAACCACACAAGAGACACGAGUUGGCCUGCAGAUGGCUCUCAGCUGGCGUUGGCGAGUGGAGCAGUACCAUGGACCAAUAAUCCCACCCAUUAGGAGCCCGACUGUACCAUGGACUAUAUGUACCCAAAAUUAUUCGAACUGAACUAGUUCUCGCGGCGGUUGGAGUCGCCCUCGCUGAUGCUGUUGGACACGUCCGGAUUGGUGCCAUUGGAGUCAGACUCGCUG